CGAGAAUCACGAAUCGCCCAUCCUCCACUGUUCAUAUUCAGCCCCCAUCCCUCCCCCUCUCUCUUGUCUCUCUCAAAUUCACGAGCAUUCAUCCAUGGAAGCCCGUUCAAUCGGGCGAGAAUCACGCCUUGGGGCUGUCCCCCAGCUUCCGAGCUCCAAAGAUGGAGAUGACUUUGUCCUCAUUCCGCAGAGAGAAAAGCUCAUGCGUCGUUGUACACAGCGACUGGACUGGAUUUGCGUUUGCGUCUGCUCAAACUAAUUGGGACUCAUCGCCGUCUUCUGGUUGACCCCGAUGAGAAUCAUCUGCAGAACGAAUCACCUCAAGUGGAAGAUGUCACGAUGCUUGGACAUUGGGAUCUUGGCGGUUACUUUGUUGGACCUUUCUGAUCUGGCUUGUUCUAGGAGUUUGAAGUGAUUGGAUAGCUAAGUUUUACAUGUCGAAUGAUCUAUCUCCUUCGGUGUGUAUCUCAUGGCUUGUAAUUCUUUCA
Rhodamnia argentea is the source of this 488-nucleotide long non-coding RNA. RefSeq lists it as uncharacterized. The record is from RefSeq and is a predicted model, not a curated record. The transcript is spliced from 2 exons. NCBI's taxonomy places the organism in Eukaryota, Viridiplantae, Streptophyta, Magnoliopsida, Myrtales, Myrtaceae.